RNAcentral lists this long non-coding RNA (199 nucleotides) under Elaeis guineensis (African oil palm). RNAcentral describes it as "long non-coding RNA (EGUI_LNC068276)". The record is from RNAcentral. Lineage: Eukaryota; Viridiplantae; Streptophyta; Magnoliopsida; Arecales; Arecaceae.
GGGUGUUUUGGAUGUGGUGAAAUGUGUAUGGAGGUUGUGAGUGAUCAAUAAGGGAUCAGUCACUCCUAAUAAAGAGAGUGAACAUCCUAUGUGAUCUCAUAGGUUGGUAAUUCUGAAAGUCUUUGGCCAAAGUAGGAUGAUAAUUAGAAAAAAGUUUAUAAUGUAUCAUCAACUGAAUCUUACCUUCUGAUCGAGAUAC